Molecule: long non-coding RNA, 2529 nt
Organism: Leopardus geoffroyi (Geoffroy's cat)
Lineage: Eukaryota; Metazoa; Chordata; Mammalia; Carnivora; Felidae
Exons: 5
Source: RefSeq, a predicted model, not a curated record
AGAUGCUCUCACUUUUCAUUCAAAUUUAGAGGCCUGGUAUAAAGACAGCUAUAGAUUUAUGGAAACGGUAGAGUUAUCGGAAAGGGCUGUAGGAUGCUAGAUUUAUACCAGCCGCUGAUAAUGCAGCACAGUCUGGGGGCAGUUCCUGGUGGCUGACGUCUGAGGAAAUAGACGGCAACACCCAACUGCAGAUGGCUCCUGAUAACUGGCCAUCUCUUUUCCGAGUGGCCAGAAGUGUUAUUUCGGGAGCACGACACAGAGCAGACCAUCUGUUAAGGUUCUGGGGGAAGCUUCAGUUGGUCAUACGUGGCGAAGGCAGCCAAUGAGUCAGAACUCGAGCACGGCCGUGGACGUGCCAGAGGUCGCCGAACCCCCCGUGCUGACCGCAAGGGAAGGGCUCCGAGCUCCAGGGAUCACGGACACUCCGAGGGAAGGGGCUGAGGGCUGCUGGGGUGUCUGCUGGGCCUCUGCCAGGCCUCCGUUGUCCCCGUGUCUUGGAAACCGGGAAACGUGUUGCUUUGCUGUCUAUUUUUGGUACCAGAGGACUGUGGCCUUUCCCGAACAAGCGUGUCUCUCGUGUUAACGGUGUGCGAGCAGACGUGCCCUGGGAAGGCUGGUUCGAGGCUAACGGGGCAAGAAUCACAACACACAGCGAGUAACUGUAAUUUCCCAGAGGAAAAGCGAAGCCUGCAGAUCUUCUCAAACCUUUAUCCCGAGUGUGAAGUUUUGUUUUCAAUGCUUGAAAGGCCAGAGUUGUCUUCGUAAACAGAGACUGGGCCUCAGCAGGCCAGACCAGGGGGACGUCUGACCUCGGCCAUCACUGGCCAGGCCCUGACGGGCUCUGGCAUUCACCUGCUCUCGUCUCCAACACGUCCCUCGCCCCGGAAAGUUCAGCGUGCGCUUCAUAUGUCUUGCAAAGCAACAGCGAUGGACACUGCUUCCCCUUGUGGGCCUGUGUGGGGUGCCACGGCUCCCGGAGGCUAUAACCAACUAGAUAGAUCUUCGACGGCGGUCUCUCGUUCCCAUACCUAAAUGCUAACAAAACCUGUUAAACCGCGGUCAUCUGCGACUACUUCUGAGAUGUUCCAGCCUCUUCUUGUACUUCCUUGCCCCAGCUGCAGAAUUGACCGUUUCUCCCAGGAGUCCUGUAUCUUUUGAGAGGAUGAUGGUAUUGAGCAGUCAAGCCCCAGGCACUGGAUGUGUUCAUUUCCAUGGGGGUGUUGCCGCUCCCGGCCUUCUUGGGGAGCAGAAGGAGGAAGCAUCUGUCUCUCUCCUUGGCCAAAAGAUGGUCGCCUUCUCCUGUGUCCUCCCAUGGAAUUCCCUCUUUGCAUGUCUGUAUCCUGAUCUCCCCAUCUUGAAAAGACACCUGUCACAUCAGAUGAGGGCCCACACAUCUGCCUUUGUUUUCACUGAAAUACGUCUUUGAAGACCGUAUCUCCAAAUACGGUCACACUCUGAGGAUCAUCAGUUCCACCUGAAGCCAAAAGGUCCACUUUUUUUUUUUUCUUUUUUUCUUAACAUCUAAACUGGCUUCGAAUGGAGACAGACUUCUCCUUUACUUAUUUCCAUCUUACUUUUUUUACAAACUAGUAUCCGUGAGCAUGCAUUUUAUGCUACGUAACACAAGGGCAUGAUUCGACCGUAGUUUCUUUUUGCCACGAGGGGUUGGCACAAAGCUUCCCUCUGCAUCAGGUUCCGCUGCACCAGCUCAGCGAGGAGGAGUGUGCGGCGCCCGGGCUCAGGCCGCAGAGCUGGGCUGUUUGGGGCAAGACUCACCAUCUUGCUGGCAUGCCCUCUCCUCUGCCGUGAAAUGGAAGAAUUGCCCCCGCCAGGGCGCCUAGUGCCUGGAGAACGCUCAACAAUAAACAACUUCGUGCCGAAUACUUGUGGGAAUCAGAGAGAGAGAGUGUGGCCAAAACCCCCACAACGGUACCCGCCAGCCCGAGAGAAGAAUCGAGAAAAGGGGCAGUAGAGAAAGAGCGAUAGAUGGCAAGCUUUAUCGUUUCUGGCGAUGGGUCUUGGUGAUAGGGUUCAGGAAUUGGUGCAGAAGAGCGGAAGUCAAAAAUUAGGGGAACUGCGACCCGUUUUCUUUAGAUAAACCGUAUCUUUAUAGGACCAUGGUAGAUUACACAGAGCAUCACGCUUUUCCUUUGAUUCCAUUGCGCACCCCGGACGGGCAUCCCGUCUUCAGACCCGGCUCUGCGUCCCCCUAAAUCCCGGGGAGUCGUGCCUCCCUGGCCACCGCAGUAAGAAGCGGUCUGGGGGACACACUCCCCCAGGGUGGCCAGCGGGCACCUUCCCGUGUGCAUGAAAGUUCACUGAACUCGCCCCCCUGCCCCCCCCCCCCCGGCCUUGUUCUCUUCCCUUCCAUCAGCAGCUCAGAGCUGAGCUGUCCACUAAGCUCUCCUCCACGCCGUCCAAAGGCACUCGUCCCCGGACUCUGAAUUAGACACGGCAGAAAAGAGUCUGCAAGGUCAAACGCAGAGUAGUUCCUCUUUCGGUAUCAAAAUAAAGCAUUCCUUGCAUUUC